This is a regulatory RNA element of Pedobacter africanus, 35 nucleotides long. It matches the Rfam family "DUF805b RNA". Rfam says of the family: Bacteroidetes, Chlorobi (1 example), Proteobacteria. Lineage (Flavobacteria) The record is from Rfam. NCBI's taxonomy places the organism in Bacteria, Pseudomonadati, Bacteroidota, Sphingobacteriia, Sphingobacteriales, Sphingobacteriaceae.
UAGGCGUAACCUGAAAAGCCUCAACAGAGUAAGGA